This 450-nucleotide ribosomal RNA is filed under the name uncultured bacterium. RNAcentral describes it as "partial 16S ribosomal RNA". It matches the Rfam family "Bacterial small subunit ribosomal RNA", at positions 354 to 796 of the family's 1533-position model. The record is from RNAcentral.
GUGGGGAAUUUUGGACAAUGGGCGCAAGCCUGAUCCAGCAAUGCCGCGUGCAGGAAGAAGGCCUUCGGGUUGUAAACUGCUUUUGUACGGAACGAAAAGGCUCUGGUUAAUACCUGGGGCUCAUGACGGUACCGUAAGAAUAAGCACCGGCUAACUACGUGCCAGCAGCCGCGGUAAUACGUAGGGUGCAAGCGUUAAUCGGAAUUACUGGGCGUAAAGCGUGCGCAGGCGGUUUUGUAAGACAGACGUGAAAUCCCAGGGCUCAACCUGGGAAUGGCGUUUGUGACUGCAAAGCUGGAGUGCGGCAGAGGGGGAUGGAAUUCCGCGUGUAGCAGUGAAAUGCGUAGAUAUGCGGAGGAACACCGAUGGCGAAGGCAAUCCCCUGGGCCUGCACUGACGCUCAUGCACGAAAGCGUGGGGAGCAAACAGGAUUAGAUACCCUGGUAGUCC